Non-coding RNA from Camellia sinensis, 1045 nucleotides. Lineage: Eukaryota; Viridiplantae; Streptophyta; Magnoliopsida; Ericales; Theaceae. The record is from RefSeq and is a predicted model, not a curated record.
UUUCUGAUCUUAUGUUAUACUUGUAGUUUUGCUUCUUGGUGCUACUGCUAGUGAAGCCUUUUAUUUUUUUUUUUUUUUUUCAGGAUGUUUUGGUGCAAAUUAGAGAUUUACUACCCAUUGGGAAGGUUCAAAUUUGCAAUGUGGAUGGAUUGAAUUCUCAAGGGGGUGUUUCUAAUGAAUGUGAGAAGCUCAAAGGAAUGGUUGAAUACAUGGGUACAUGAGAGUGAAAGCAAGUGCGGCGUAAGGUGCAAGUAUCAAGCCAAAAGAUUGGGUGAGAAAGUGUGUCAUUUGGGUGUGAGGUGGUGGAUGUGCAAGUGGUUCGGGUUUGGGUAUUCAAACUCUCAGUUCUUUUUUUGGUAAUCAUUUAUCUCUCAUAGUGAAGACGGCUCCACAAGUGAGUGUAGGUUAUGUUUUACUAGACAACAUAGAUAUUGUGUCUUCUUUGAUCAAAAGCCUUGGAUGGAAAACAUACUCGUUUUCUGUACUCCCUCUCAAAAUUCUGUCCACUUGUCUGAUAAGAUUGAUUCAGUCUCAACACUAAACAUGUUAUGAGUUGGUGUGGUCCCAUUCAUGCCCAAUUUGGGAAAAUAAGUCAUAGGGCAAAAUACUAUAUUUGGUUGCACGUUGCAACAUACAUUACUCAGACAUACUGUUUGAUUUCUUCACUGUUAAUCUGUAUUAUUAUGGUUAUUUUGUUUUCAUCGCUUUGGUAUUCAUCAUGCUCAGUCUACAAUGUGAUCAGGAAUUAGCUUGCAUACUGAACAAUUUUCAGCCUUCAGGGAAAGUGUGCCUGAUAUAGAAGCUGCCACUACGAAGAUGGAAUUGAAGAUUAGGCGAGAUCUAUUGAAUAUAGAAAUUAGAGUACAUAUAAUCUUAUUAUUUUAGUAUUAUGUAUAUAAUCUGUGAUUGUGCCAAUCACUGAUUUAAUAUUGUUUCUUUAUUUAUAUCGUUUCCUUAUUUGUAUGAUUUCCUAAAUUAUAUCAUGAAUCUAUUAUAUAUAUAUGGCCUCUACUCCAUUCAUGGGUAAGCCAAAUAAUUUUUUUCA